RNAcentral lists this ribosomal RNA (401 nucleotides) under uncultured bacterium. RNAcentral's name for it is "partial 16S ribosomal RNA". It matches the Rfam family "Archaeal small subunit ribosomal RNA", at positions 473 to 873 of the family's 1478-position model. The record is from RNAcentral.
AUACCGGCUGCUCGAGUGAUGGCCACUAUUACUGGGUUUAAAGCGUCCGUAGCUUGACUGUUAGGUCUCUUGGGAAAUCUUUUGGCUUAACCAAAAGGCGUCUAAGAGAUACCGGCAUUCUUGGAACUGGGAGAGGUAAGCCGUACUUCGGGGGUAGGAGUGAAAUCUUGUAAUCCUCGAGGGACGACCUAUGGCGAAGGCAGCUUACCAGAACAGCUUCGACAGGGAGGGACGAAAGCUGGGGGAGCAAACGGGAUUAAAUACCCCGGUAGUCCCAGCCGUAAACAAUGUGCGUUAGGUGUGUCGGUUACCACGCGUAACUGAUGCGCCGAAGAGAAAUCGUGAAACGCACCACCUGGGAAGUACGGUCGCGAGGCUGAAACUUAAAGGAAUUGACGGGG